GUAUGAGAUGACAUUUUCUUUUCCAUAGCUGAUUAGUUUCCCUUUUGCACUUCUUAUUUAGCGAAUGGAAGAACUUGAAAGUGAAACGAGAAGAAUGAGGAAAGAUCUAGACAAAGAAAAGCCAGAAGGCAUCUAUAGCUGAACUGAAAACAUAGCUAGAUGAAGAGCGUGACAAAAGAAGAGAAGAGCGAGAAAAGGCUGCUGCAGAUCUGAAAGCUUCAAUACAAAGGGUUCAGUCCGAGGCUGAAGAAGAAUUAAAACGAGCAUCAGAUGCUGCUUCGAGGCGAGAAAGAGAACAACAAGAAGUUAUCAGUAAACUUCAGGUCUAUACUCCGAGGAAUGCGCCUUAUGGUAGUGAGAAAAUUGAUGUGGUUCGUGAGCAAUGGGAUAAGUUUUUUACCUGCAAGUAUUUAUUAUUGGCCUGAGCGCGUUUGAUCGAGUUGGCUUAGAUGUUAUAGAACAAUCUUUUAUAUUAAAAUGUAUGCGUACGUUGAAAUUGGAACACAUAUAUUUAAAUGUACUACAUGCACUUUGUUUUGGGAUAUAUAAUAUACAAAACACCAGUUAUUGUUUU
This is a long non-coding RNA of Spinacia oleracea (spinach), 574 nucleotides long. RefSeq lists it as uncharacterized. The record is from RefSeq and is a predicted model, not a curated record. Lineage: Eukaryota; Viridiplantae; Streptophyta; Magnoliopsida; Caryophyllales; Amaranthaceae. The transcript is spliced from 3 exons.